Felis catus (domestic cat) is the source of this 1848-nucleotide long non-coding RNA. RefSeq lists it as uncharacterized. Lineage: Eukaryota; Metazoa; Chordata; Mammalia; Carnivora; Felidae. The transcript is spliced from 5 exons. The record is from RefSeq and is a predicted model, not a curated record.
GAUUUUACAGCUUAAGUCUGAGCAUGAAUUAUUAAGAAGUAUUUUUGUUAUGAUGCGUCACAGAUUUUUGAAGUUAUUAAAAGUUAUAAUGCUUUUAGAGAAUUUUCACCAUUUGAAGGCUUAGUUUUAAGGAACUUAAAGCAAUCACGGGAAGUCUCAACUAACAACAGCCAAACCCUCGUGAAGGAGAAGGUCUUGGCCUCCAGAGUGUGGCCAGUGGCGGGACGCGACAGCACACUCAAGGACAAGCUUGCUUGGGGGUGACUGCACCUCAGAAGGACACCGCUGGCGGAACAGUGACAGAGAUGACAGGUCACUGUCCAGGGGACACAGCACACACGCGUGCGGGCGUGUCUCUGCUGGGCAACAUGGCAGACAAGAUCUGUGUAACUGAGCUGAUGUUUGAAACACAGCAGACGCGGGAAACUCUCCAGGGUGCAAUCCCAGGCUACCUUAGAUGCUCGUCACCAGAUUCUCUGUGUGCCCGGGACGCGCAGGGCAGACGGGCCGGAUCUCAGUGGCCGCAAGUCACAAAGAAUGUGCCGGAGACAGUAGCCCAACUUCUGCCUCUACAGAUGAAGAAAUUGCUCUGCAGACAGCAAGUGGUUUGCUCCUGGCCACAAAAGUAAUUGGCACUCUCUGGCGGCUGCUGUGGAUGAUAAUGAUGGCUGGCCUUCGAAAGUCUGCUUUGGAGCUGACUCUUGAGGAGCAGGGGGUCUGUGUCCUCUCCUUCGGAGGGUCCUGGCCGCAGUGGACGGGGGCCACUCUAAGGACCUCGUCCUGAUUGGGUCACCUGCAGACACCGUUUCCAGAGAAGAUCACGUUCACAGGAUAAGAAGACAGAGAGUUAGGGCCGGAGUGAAUGAAGAACUUUACUCAGACGGCUGCUACUCUCCACCUUAUUGUACCCUGUCGUCCAUACUUCAGAUGAUGUCCGGUGCGUCAGGGCUGCUCAAAGCAAUAAACGGGGUGAAUCACGACGGGAGUGCGGGCCGGGAAGGAUCGAAGACGCACACGAGGCGGCAGAGACGGUGAGAACGCGCACGUGGGGCGCACGGAAAGGGCAGAGGCUGAGGACGGCAUCCGAGCGGGCGGCUCCGGCAGCAGGGACCCCGCUGGACCGCCACCACCCGCGCGGCAAACAGCGCCACCCGCUUGGCAAACCGCGGUGCAAGGCGGGAGAGCCAGGGCCUCCGUCUCUGGAUCUUCGUUCCGAAACUAAGAAAUGAACACACACGAAGUAACGGCAAAACACGCAGGCUCCAUAGGACAGCCCUACACAUGUGAGCCCAUCACACCGCGGACGCACCUGGGUGUGGGCACUGUUCCGGGCGUGGACACCGGCCCCGGGUGUGGACACUGUUCAGGGUGUGGACACCAUCCCCGGGUGUAGACACGGUCCCGGGUGUGGACACUAUCCCAGGUGUGAGCACUGUCCCUGGGUGUGGACACUGUCCCAGGUGUGGACACUAUUCCCAGGUGUGGAUUCCGUCCCGGUGUGGGUUCUGUCCCUGGGUGUAGACACUGUUCCGGGCGUGGACACCGGCCCCAGGUGUGGACACUGUUCAGGGUGUGGACACCAUCCCCAUGUGUGGACAUUGUCCUCAGGUGUGGACUCUGUCCCUGGGUGUGGACACCAUCCCCGGGUGUAGACACUGUCCCGGGUGUGGACGCUGUUCCCAGUGUGGACAUGGCCCCCAUGGAUGGACAUGGUCUUCAUCUGCUGCAGCCCUGGGAGGCAGAUCUGACCCGUGCAGGGGACCAGGUGACAGCACAGUGACCUGAACUCUUCCCUCCGAAUACCCUGAAAUGAGGCAUGGCCCCACACUUUCAACUUCCAGGCUCUGG